RNAcentral lists this non-coding RNA (80 nucleotides) under Crenothrix sp. RNAcentral describes it as "c-di-GMP sequence". It matches the Rfam family "c-di-GMP-I riboswitch aptamer". From Rfam's summary of the family: GEMM was predicted in a large-scale screen for bacterial structured RNA regulatory elements. Genes associated with GEMM are involved in a diverse array of functions, including chemotaxis regulation, signal transduction, secretion and chitin. Lineage: Bacteria; Pseudomonadati; Pseudomonadota; Gammaproteobacteria; Methylococcales; Crenotrichaceae. The record is from RNAcentral.
UUAAGUCAUCGCAAAACCUAUCCGUAAGGUGGGGGCUGAAAGUCACGAAUCCAAUACUAUUGGAAGGUCGGACUGCCGAA